RNAcentral lists this ribosomal RNA (399 nucleotides) under uncultured Hypotrichia. RNAcentral's name for it is "partial small subunit ribosomal RNA". It matches the Rfam family "Eukaryotic small subunit ribosomal RNA", at positions 30 to 432 of the family's 1831-position model. The record is from RNAcentral. Lineage: Eukaryota; Ciliophora; Spirotrichea.
GCUUGUCUCAAAGAUUAAGCCAUGCAUGUCUAAGUAUAGUACCUUAUACUGCGAAACUGCGAAUGGCUCAUUAAAUCAGUUAUAAUUCAUUUGAUGGUACUUACUACUCGGAUAACCGUGGUAAUUCUAGAGCUAAUACAUGCUGGUUAGCCUGACUUCGAGGAAGGGCUGUAUUUAUUAGAUAACAAACCAAUAUUCUUCGUGUCUAUUGUGAUGACUCAUAAUAACUGAUCGAAUCGCAUGGUCCUUGACCGCGAUAAAUCAUUCAAGUUUCUGCCCCAUCAGCUUUCGAUGGUAGUGUAUUGGACUACCAUGGCUUUAACGGGUAACGGAGGAUUAGGGUUCGAUUCCGGAGAGGGAGCCUGAGAAACGGCUACCACAUCUAAGGAAGGCAGCAGG